GCAUAGCCGAGUUGAGAGACUGAUCGGCCACAAUGGAACUGAGACACGGUCCAUACUCCUACGGGAGGCAGCAGUAGGGAAUCUUCCACAAUGGGCGCAAGCCUGAUGGAGCAACACCGCGUGAGUGAAGAAGGGUUUCGGCUCGUAAAACUCUGUUGUUGAAGAAGAACGUGCGUGAGAGUAACUGUUCAUGCAGUGACGGUAUUCAACCAGAAAGUCACGGCUAACUACGUGCCAGCAGCCGCGGUAAUACGUAGGUGGCAAGCGUUAUCCGGAUUUAUUGGGCGUAAAGCGAGCGCAGGCGGUUGCUUAGGUCUGAUGUGAAAGCCUUCGGCUUAACCGAAGAAGUGCAUCGGAAACCGGGCGACUUGAGUGCAGAAGAGGACAGUGGAACUCCAUGUGUAGCGGUGGAAUGCGUAGAUAUAUGGAAGAACACCAGUGGCGAAGGCGGCUGUCUGGUCUGCAACUGACGCUGAGGCUCGAAAGCAUGGGUAGCGAACAGGAUUAGAUACCCUGGUAGUCCAUGCCGUAAACGAUGAGUGCUAGGUGUUGGAGGGUUUCCGCCCUUCAGUGCCGCAGCUAACGCAUUAAGCACUCCGCCUGGGGAGUACGACCGCAAGGUUGAAACUCAAAGGAAUUGACGGGGGCCCGCACAAGCGGUGGAGCAUGUGGUUUAAUUCGAAGCUACGCGAAGAACCUUACCAGGUCUUGACAUCUUGCGCUAACCUAAGAGAUUAGGCGUUCCCUUCGGGGACGCAAUGACAGGUGGUGCAUGGUCGUCGUCAGCUCGUGUCGUGAGAUGUUGGGUUAAGUCCCGCAACGAGCGCAACCCUUGUUACUAGUUGCCAGCAUUCAGUUGGGCACUCUAGUGAGACUGCCGGUGACAAACCGGAGGAAGGUGGGGACGACGUCAGAUCAUCAUGCCCCUUAUGACCUGGGCUACACACGUGCUACAAUGGCCGGUACAACGAGCAGCUAACCCGCGAGGGUGUGCAAAUCUCUUAAAGCCGGUCUCAGUUCGGACUGCAGUCUGCAACUCGACUGCACGAAGUCGGAAUCGCUAGUAAUCGCGGAUCAGCAUGCCGCGGUGAAUACGUUCCCGGGCCUUGUACACACCGCCCGUCACACCAUGGAAGUUUGCAAUGCCCAAAGUCAGUGGCCUAACCAUU
This 1169-nucleotide ribosomal RNA is filed under the name Limosilactobacillus panis. Its description in RNAcentral is "bacterial SSU rRNA". It matches the Rfam family "Bacterial small subunit ribosomal RNA", at positions 281 to 1443 of the family's 1533-position model. The record is from RNAcentral. Lineage: Bacteria; Bacillati; Bacillota; Bacilli; Lactobacillales; Lactobacillaceae.